This 863-nucleotide long non-coding RNA is filed under the name Polistes fuscatus (common paper wasp). RNAcentral describes it as "uncharacterized LOC122526489". The record is from RNAcentral. Lineage: Eukaryota; Metazoa; Arthropoda; Insecta; Hymenoptera; Vespidae.
AUAUUUUGCGUCUCUCGGUAGUCUGCUUAAAUAGAAUAAUUCAUAAAAAGCGGGUUAUGCCGACAAGCCGUGAUUCUCGAUAAACCGAACUUGAAAUUCCUUCGAUGGCCACUCGAGUUGCUUGCAAAUAUUUUGUCGACGAGAGUUUCCGAAGAUAGAUGGGCUAUUUAUAGGGGAGACCGCGUGAUCAAAUUUUAUAACGACGAACGACGAUGUUUGAUUAGGCGAAAAGAAAAUGAAUCUGGGAAAAUUGCCGUGUAAUCUAAGAGUAAUUUAACUAAAAUUGUUUCUAGAUAAUUCCUUAGAAGUUUGGAUCGACGAAUAUAUGAAACGAACUAAAAAAAUCGUUUUCUUGAAAAAGUCUUCGAUUCUGUGGGAUUGUGAUAACGCAUAGUCUAGUAUUUUAUAGCAUAUCACAUAUAUGCAACGUAUGAACGUGGCCUGAUAAAUGCUUCGUAUACGCGCCAAGUUGUGCCCACUCGCGCAUACAUAUCACGAAUAUCACUCGACGUAUAUUCACGCUCCACACGUUUACUUUUAUGCAUUGUACGCGUUCUCGUUUCUCUUAUUUUACCUUUAUCUCUUUUUCCUUCAGGUUUUUCUCCACGUUUUCCAGUCAACACUGGUAACGUGCAAGAGUCGAGACGUUUUCCUAGACAGUAGAUCUUACAUUCGUUACAUAAACAAGAAUAAUAACUGAAAGUAGUAACAGUUUCUCAAAUCUUUAUUAAAACAAGGGGGCGUAAUAAUAAUAAGGUAGAAAUCUUAUCGUUCGUUAGGGAAUAUUCUCAUUGUCAGCCAAUACAUUCGUUUUCGAAUCUUAAGGCGAAUUAGCGAGUAUCACGCCAACGGCGUUUUGUCCA